UUGCAGCGAAUUUGAGACUGGAUAACAACGAGUUCCCAAACAACUGUGAAAACAUGCUUGUACCUGUCUCCCUCGAGAAGCUGAAAAAGCUAACUCGUGCAAUUUCUAAUGGAAGUAAUAAACCAGACCCAACAGACAGAUCCACACACUUGUUGAAGUCAAAGAAAUUGUGGCCAAUUAGUGGACAAGAACUGUUAACAGAACAUGGAUUCACUGCUCUUGCU
This is a long non-coding RNA of Daphnia pulex (common water flea), 224 nucleotides long. RefSeq lists it as uncharacterized. The transcript has 2 exons. The record is from RefSeq and is a predicted model, not a curated record. Lineage: Eukaryota; Metazoa; Arthropoda; Branchiopoda; Diplostraca; Daphniidae.